UGCUCGACCUCUUUUUUCCUUUCUGAAAGUUAAUCUAGGGCUCGACCUCUCCCCACCAGAGCGCAAGCAAUUCGUCAGAAAAGUUGUCGAAUCCUACCUUGCAGACUUGCAAUCCAAAGCCGAAGCAGCGCGACAAGCGGAGGAAGAAGAGCUUGAAGAAGAAGAUGACGAAGAGGGACAGAGAAAGGGAAAGAGAGGCGGCGCUAAAGAGGUAUAUUCUUCAUAACGAGCCUCUUCUGAAAUCUUGGUAAGAGAGAAGUUUAAUUAACUAAUUUAGAGAGUUUUCAGCAGCAUUUUGGUAUCCAGUUGAUGGAAAUCCUUGACAUGGAUCUGGGCAUUAUUCCAUUGACCAUGACUGGGUACCUUUAGAUAUUUCCCAAGGCACUUCUACGCUAACGGAAAUUAGUUCUGGAAAUUCUUGGGGUGAUGCUAGUGGUUUUGCUCUCAUCUUAUCUGUUAUCGCCUUGUGCGUAUCCGUUUUUGUCAGAAAGGAUUGAGGUGAACUUUUACUUUAAAUGGAUGGAUAUUAGAUGCUCAACUAGGAAGCGAAGCAGUUACUGUAGUUGUUUCAACUGUGUUUGGAAUGAGUUUGUAACAUACAAUAACAGCCGGAAACUGUGAGCAGUUAAGUUCCUAGGUUGUUGGCCUUAUUUUUAAAAAUAUACUUUCAAAUAUUGGGAUGACUUGCAAUUUAUAUUGUAAGGUCUCUGUUAAGCAAUUUAGACUUCCAGUGGUUACUUCUAAAAUGAUAACAUAAUUAUAAAACAUGUAGUUUACACUGGACAGUCAAACUUGUUCACUGCAGCAAUGUAGCUUGCAUGAGAGUCUCACAAUUGUGGUUUUAUCAUCUAGCUGUUUUGGGCAAUGUGGAUAUAUCAAAUGUUGGAUCAAUUUUAAAACGUGGCAGUAGAACUUUAACAUACUUGUUUUAUAGCUAUCAAAUCUCAUUUUAAGCAGGAUCUUGAAAUAAGAAAACUUACAAAUUGUGCUUGAAUUUUCUGACAGGUGACUGGAAAAGCUGUUAUGAUAGAUGAGAUAAUAAAUUAUGUGC
Molecule: long non-coding RNA, 1051 nt
Filed under: Panax ginseng (ginseng)
Lineage: Eukaryota; Viridiplantae; Streptophyta; Magnoliopsida; Apiales; Araliaceae
Description: long non-coding RNA (PGIN_LNC004135)
Source: RNAcentral